GAAAAUUAGAGGAAGCACAACACACAGCCGAGACACACACAUACAGAGCCGAGAGGGCUGAGAAUUUAAUUCAAGCUUGAUGCUUCAUUGAUGAUUUAAUUUACAGUUUUCAGGUACCAAGGAUGAACUUGGAUUGCUAGUAGCGGGCUUAGGUGGAAGAGUUGGAGUUGAGGAAUUAAAUUAUUUUAUUUAGAAAUUUUUAUGUAUUUAUUUGAGGAAAUUGAUUUAGUAUCAAUUUAAUUAAUUUGAGAUGUUGUCUUAUUUAUUUGAGGAAAUUUGAUUGAUUUUGCAUCAAUAAAGGGUAUUUUAUUUCUUUUGA
Molecule: long non-coding RNA, 319 nt
Organism: Cornus florida
Lineage: Eukaryota; Viridiplantae; Streptophyta; Magnoliopsida; Cornales; Cornaceae
Exons: 2
Source: RefSeq, a predicted model, not a curated record